AGUGAACGCUGGCGGUAGGCCUAACACAUGCAAGUCGAACGGCAGCACAGUAAGAGCUUGCUCUUACGGGUGGCGAGUGGCGGACGGGUGAGGAAUACAUCGGAAUCUACUUUUUCGUGGGGGAUAACGUAGGGAAACUUACGCUAAUACCGCAUACGACCUACGGGUGAAAGCAGGGGAUCUUCGGACCUUGCGCGAUUGAAUGAGCCGAUGUCGGAUUGGCUAGUUGGCGGGGUAAAGGCCCACCAAGGCGACGAUCCGUAGCUGGUCUGAGAGGAUGAUCAGCCACACUGGGACUGAGACACGGUCCAGACUCCUACGGGAGGCAGCAGUGGGGAAUAUUGGACAAUGGGCGCAAGCCUGAUCCAGCCAUACCGCGUGGGUGAAGAAGGCCUUCGGGUUGUAAAGCCCUUUUGUUGGGAAAGAAAAGCAGCAGGUUAAUACCCCGCUGUUCUGACGGUACCCAAAGAAUAAGCACCGGCUAACUUCGUG
This 492-nucleotide ribosomal RNA is filed under the name uncultured bacterium. RNAcentral describes it as "partial 16S ribosomal RNA". It matches the Rfam family "Bacterial small subunit ribosomal RNA", at positions 29 to 507 of the family's 1533-position model. The record is from RNAcentral.